AGCGGCAGGCCUAAUACAUGCAAGUCGGACGGGAUUGGAGAGCUUGCUUUCCACGAGAGUGGCGCACGGGUGCGUAACACGUAUGUAACCUACCUUUAUCAGGGGGAUAGCCUCUCGAAAGAGAGAUUAAGCCCGCAUAACGUUGCACUGUGGCAUCACAGCACAAUCAAAUAUUUAUAGGAUAAAGAUGGGCAUGCGGAACAUUAGCUAGUUGGUAAGGUAACGGCUUACCAAGGCUACGAUGUUUAGGGGAUCUGAGAGGAUGACCCCCCACACUGGUACUGAGACACGGACCAGACUCCUACGGGAGGCAGCAGUAAGGAAUAUUGGUCAAUGGGCGGAAGCCUGAACCAGCCAUGCCGCGUGCAGGAAGACGGCCCUACGGGUUGUAAACUGCUUUUACAGGGGAAUAAACCUUUCUAUGUAUAGGAAGCUGAAUGUACUCUGAGAAUAAGGAUCGGCUAACUCCGUGCCAGCAGCCGCGGUAAUACGGAGGAUCCAAGCGUUAUCCGGAUUUAUUGGGUUUAAAGGGUGCGUAGGCGGCCUAUUAAGUCAGGGGUGAAAGACGGUAGCUUAACUAUCGCAGUGCCUUUGAUACUGAUGGGCUUGAAUGU
This 614-nucleotide ribosomal RNA is filed under the name uncultured Bacteroidota bacterium. RNAcentral's name for it is "bacterial SSU rRNA". It matches the Rfam family "Bacterial small subunit ribosomal RNA", at positions 38 to 649 of the family's 1533-position model. The record is from RNAcentral. Lineage: Bacteria; Pseudomonadati; Bacteroidota.